UGGGAGAGACCUCGUGUUAUACAUGCUCAGGCAUGCAACAUGAGGCGCCGAAGGCGCAACCCGCCCGGAAACGCUCAGGCAAAAGGACUAUGGGG
This 95-nucleotide non-coding RNA is filed under the name marine eukaryotic metagenome. Its description in RNAcentral is "Glycine riboswitch". It matches the Rfam family "Glycine riboswitch aptamer", at positions 11 to 84 of the family's 94-position model. From Rfam's summary of the family: This family represents the bacterial glycine riboswitch. Glycine riboswitches usually consist of two metabolite-binding aptamers domains with similar structures in tandem. The record is from RNAcentral.